RNAcentral lists this ribosomal RNA (254 nucleotides) under uncultured bacterium. RNAcentral describes it as "partial 16S ribosomal RNA". It matches the Rfam family "Bacterial small subunit ribosomal RNA", at positions 524 to 776 of the family's 1533-position model. The record is from RNAcentral.
UACGUAGGGUGCAAGCGUUGUCCGGAUUUAUUGGGCGUAAAGAGCUCGUAGGCGGUUUGUCGCGUCGGAUGUGAAAACCCAGGGCUCAAUCCUGGGCCUGCAUUCGAUACGGGCAGACUAGAGUAUGGCAGGGGAGACUGGAAGUUCCUGGUGUAGCGGUGAAAUGCGCAGAUAUCAGGAGGAACACCGGUGGCGAAGGCGGGUCUCUGGGCCAAAACUGACGCUGAGGAGCGAAAGCGUGGGGAGCGAACAGG